CAGUCAGAACCAUAAGUCUCAAAGCCCCGACGAGUAGGGUGGCGUGCCGGUGCGCGUUGAAGGCCAAGACGUGAGUCAGGCUGGAGCCGCCGGUAGUGCAGAUCUUGGUGGUAGUAGCAAGUACUCUGGUGAACCAACCUGGAGCUGUGAGGUCUGGAUUAGGGUUCCAUGUCAACAGUGAUUGAACAUGGGUGAGUCGAACCUAAGCCAACUGUGAAAGCAGUGACAUCCCGACAAAGGGGCACUAUAUAUAUGUGUGCUGUACUUACACCCCCAAACCAAAGCUCUCGUAUUGCUCUCUCUCUCUGACAAUAAGGUGUCUGGCAUGGAAUAUGGGCACACACACACGGUGAUCACUUCAAAUAAAUAAGUGAGUGUGACACGCUCUUGAGGCUGAUGGUUACGGAAUAUGGCAGCCCACACACACACACAAUGACCCAUACAAAUACGUAUGAGAGUGUGUGUGUGGGCAUUAAUUUGGUUACGCUCAUAAGCGUUGUGGAUAAAGCAUAAAACGGGAGAGAGAGAGAGAAACGGAGUGGGUGAGCGUGAGUGUUGCUCCUGCAUGAUGAAGCACCCUGCGUCUGGUUCUAUGUCUGGCGAAAGGGAAUGGGGACUUUGUUCCUUGACCGGUCCUGGCACCCUCGAUUGGCUUUGCCAAUUAAUGGUCCAUGCAAAUGGAACCAGGCCACAGCCGUCGGCAGUCGCCCGAGGAAGAGUUUUCUUUUCUGCUUAACGCACGAGGUCAUCCCUGGAAACAGUUCGGCUGGCGAAAGGGUGCCCCGCUGCGGCAGAGCGCCACGACUGUCGUGCGCGUCUCGGUGUUCCUGCUGAUCCGUGAAGACGUGGUCGAGGGGAUUGCUCUUGUAUCAACGAAACGCCCGACAAGUUCGGGACGGACCGUACCCUAUAUCCGCAUCUGGUCUCCAAGGUUCUUAGCCUCUGCAGAGUCAGACACAUGUAGGUAAGGGAAGUCGGCAAACUCGAUCCGUAACUUCGGGAAAAGGAUUGGCUCUGAGGGCCGAGCUGGGCCGGGCCUUGCCUGCAAAGCAGUACCUAUAGUGACCGGAGUUUCAGGAGUGCGAGGGGCUCUAGUAGCUGCUUGUGCGUGUGUGCGUUCGCGCGUGCACGCGUGUGGGCACGAACGAGUCCACCGCU
This 1158-nucleotide ribosomal RNA is filed under the name Niphargus sp. ND270. Its description in RNAcentral is "partial large subunit ribosomal RNA". It matches the Rfam family "Eukaryotic large subunit ribosomal RNA", at positions 1361 to 2089 of the family's 3401-position model. The record is from RNAcentral. Lineage: Eukaryota; Metazoa; Arthropoda; Malacostraca; Amphipoda; Niphargidae.